GUGCCAGCAGCCGCGGUAAUACGUAGGGGGCUAGCGUUGUCCGGAUUUACUGGGUGUAAAGGGCGCGCAGGUGGAUUUUCAAGUCAGAGGUGAAAUCUCACGGCUUAACCGUGAAACUGCCUUUGAUACUGUUAAUCUUGAGUUCGAAAGAGAGAGACGGAAUUCCAGGUGUAGUGGUGAAAUACGUAGAUAUCUGGAAGAACACCAGUUGUGAAGACGGUCUCUUGGUUCGAUACUGACACUCAGGCGCGAAAGCGUGGGUAGCAAACAGGAUUAGAUACCCCUGUAGUCC
RNAcentral lists this ribosomal RNA (292 nucleotides) under uncultured bacterium. RNAcentral describes it as "partial 16S ribosomal RNA". It matches the Rfam family "Bacterial small subunit ribosomal RNA", at positions 505 to 796 of the family's 1533-position model. The record is from RNAcentral.